Non-coding RNA from Paramuricea clavata, 462 nucleotides. NCBI's taxonomy places the organism in Eukaryota, Metazoa, Cnidaria, Anthozoa, Malacalcyonacea, Plexauridae. The record is from the annotation of a GenBank genome assembly.
UCACAAGUAAAGUGUGUCCGGCCUUCUGUCUACAUAAUUAUGAUCAAGUGUGUGGAUCAAACGGCAAGACUUACUCCAAUCUAUGCAGCUUGCGGUUUGCUGAUUGUGAAUUUGAAAACGACGAAGAAAUAACAUUAAGACAUAAAGGACCAUGCAAGGGAAAAGGUAAUUAUUAAUAAAGAUUUGUGACAUAAUUAUCAAAUGAUUGACUAUAAUUAUACUAUUAUGUCUGGGGUAUAUACAUUCGCCAAUAAGUAGAACACAUGCAUACAAGCUUUACAGUCCUUACAAGAAAUAAUGUUUUCUGAUAAUAUUAAAUGCUUUAACACCUUCCUCCUUCUUGUUAGUAACGCCAUGUUUAAGAAAGUGCCCAAAGAUAUUAUCUCGUGUGUGUGGAUCAAAUGGUAAAACAUAUCCAAACGAAUGUUCUCUUAAAAUUGCUAUCUGUAUAAGUCAUGGAAG